AUGGAUCUGCAGACCUUCGUGCUGAGGGUGACCAUCCACUGCCAUGGCUGCAAGAAGAAGGUCCGGAAGGUGCUCAAGAGCGUCGAAGGCGUGCAGGACGUGAAGGUGGAUGCCCAGCUGCACAAGGUGAUGGUGACCGGCACCGUGGACGCCGAGACGCUCAUCAAGAGGCUCAACAAGUCUGGCAAGCAGGCCCUGCCAUGGCAACACACGCCUGCCAAGAAUCCCGACCCUGCGCCAGCCGACGCCCCCGCGCCGGCCGAGGACGGCAGCAAGGAUGCUGCUGUGGCCGACAAGAAGCCGGCGGAGGAGCCGCAGGCCGACAGCUCAGACAAGAAGCCGGAGCAGGAGACGGCCUCGGAGAAGAAGCCGGAGCAGGAGACGGCCUCGGAGAAGAAGCCUGAGACGGAGAAGGAAGCAGAGUCUGAGAAGAAGGCUGACAAGGAGGAGGCGAAACCAAGCGACGAGGCAAAGAAAGACGGCGGCGAGGGCGCGGCGGCCGAGCCCAAACCCAAAGCAAAGGGCACCGAGCCCGCCGCCGCUGCAAAGGAGGCCGGCGAUGACGAGGGCGAGGCGAAGAAGAAACAGAGCAAGCCCAAGGACGCGGAUAGGUCCCUGGCCCCAGCGCCGGCGCCGGCCCAUGCGCCGAGGUACGCGCACCAGGAAUUCAACGCGCCGCAGCCGGUGAUGAGCUACAACAUGGCGCAGCCGAGAGCGAGCGUGUCCCACUACGCGCCGCAGCCGGAGCAGGGCUACUCGCAGCAGCAGCAGGCCGGGUACUCCUCCUCCUCCUCCAUGAUGGUGACGCAGCACCCACCGCCACCGGCGCAGCAGGCCUACUCCCAGCAGGCGCAGCCAAUGCAGCAAUGGUCGCCGUCCUACCUCUACAUGCCGUACCCGCACGCGUCGCCGGAGUCCUACUACCAGGACUACUACAGCCCGCCCGGGACGCACGCGUCGCCGCCGCCCCCGCCGCCGCUCCAGGACUCGUACCGCCUAUUCGACGACGAGAACCCCAACUCGUGCAGCGUCAUGUGA
This 1038-nucleotide ribosomal RNA is filed under the name Triticum aestivum (bread wheat). RNAcentral describes it as "partial small subunit ribosomal RNA". Lineage: Eukaryota; Viridiplantae; Streptophyta; Magnoliopsida; Poales; Poaceae. The record is from RNAcentral.